GAUGAACGCUGGCGGCGUGCCUAAUACAUGCAAGUCGAGCGAACAGAUGAGGAGCUUGCUCCUCUGACGUUAGCGGCGGACGGGUGAGUAACACGUGGAUAACCUACCUAUAAGACUGGGAUAACUUCGGGAAACCGGAGCUAAUACCGGAUAAUAUAUUGAACCGCAUGGUUCAAUAGUGAAAGACGGUUUUGCUGUCACUUAUAGAUGGAUCCGCGCCGCAUUAGCUAGUUGGUAAGGUAACGGCUUACCAAGGCAACGAUGCGUAGCCGACCUGAGAGGGUGAUCGGCCACACUGGAACUGAGACACGGUCCAGACUCCUACGGGAGGCAGCAGUAGGGAAUCUUCCGCAAUGGGCGAAAGCUUGACGGAGCAACGCCGCGUGAGUGAUGAAGGUCUUCGGAUCGUAAAACUCUGUUAUUAGGGAAGAACAAAUGUGUAAGUAGCUAUGCACGUCUUGACGGUACCUAAUCAGAAAGCCACGGCUAACUACGUG
RNAcentral lists this ribosomal RNA (497 nucleotides) under uncultured bacterium. RNAcentral describes it as "partial 16S ribosomal RNA". It matches the Rfam family "Bacterial small subunit ribosomal RNA", at positions 28 to 507 of the family's 1533-position model. The record is from RNAcentral.